RNAcentral lists this ribosomal RNA (253 nucleotides) under uncultured bacterium. RNAcentral describes it as "partial 16S ribosomal RNA". It matches the Rfam family "Bacterial small subunit ribosomal RNA", at positions 524 to 776 of the family's 1533-position model. The record is from RNAcentral.
UACGGAGGGUGCAAGCGUUAUCCGGAUUCACUGGGUUUAAAGGGCGCGUAGGCGGGUGCUCAAGUCUGUGGUGAAAUCCUCCGGCUCAACCGGAGAACUGCCAUGGAUACUGGGCGUCUCGAGUGUGGUAGGGGUAUGCGGAACUAUCGGUGGAGCGGUGAAAUGCGUUGAUAUCGAUAGGAACUCCGGUGGCGAAGGCGGCAUACUGGACCACCACUGACGCUGAUGCGCGAAAGCCAGGGGAGCGAACGGG